GGAAAGGGAAUUUUGUGUUUACUCACUGCCUGUAACAAUGCAUUUUUGUAGUGCUGGUAGUUGUCAUUUUUUUGCAAUCAGUUAGCUGGCUAUCUUAGUUCAACUAGAUAAUCGUCUGAGUUAACUUUUUGUGCUCCCAGGGCCAACUUGUUAAUGCAGAUGUGUUCAAUUGUGGUAAAGGUUUUGGCAGUAAAUUAUGCAAAAAAAUUAAAAGUACUCAAGUUCAAUUUGCAAACCAAUAGUAGUCCUAUAGUGCAACAUGCAUCAGCUUAAAAAAUAGCAAACUUGACUUGAAGCAAGGAAACAUAAAUUGACAGCAAGGAAAAUGCAUCAUCGUCGAUUUGUUCCGCCUUUGUAAUUUUUAUUUUUAUUUGGGGACUGAGUGACUGCAGUUUACUGAAGGAUUUCGAUAUUCUGAUGGUGUGCUUUCUUAGCAGAAGUUCAAGAUGCUUGUUCAAAUGUGAUAUAUAACGAAAAUGGUAAAAGAUGAAUUGUGUUUUCUCAUAGAAAAAUGAUGCUCUGUAGGUGGUAUAGCAGUUCGCCAUGUAUAUCUGACAUCCGUUCAUAAAAGGACAAGUAUGUACCGAUGCUAGAAAUGAUGCUUUGUAGAAUUUCUUCUAAUCUAGUUCGAAUUUGGUCUACUUGUGUAAUUCUGUCAGUUCAUGACAAGUAUGUACCGAUGCUAGAAAUGUAGGUCAUUUGUGAAUCUUGCUUUUUCAGAGAGAAAAAGAGUUUGUGGUUGCAUCACAUGGUGUACUGAGCAACAUAUACAUGGUGUAGUGAACAAACAUAGGCAUUCACAUAAACAUGCAGCAACUCCUCUUGCUAUUCUCGUGCUUGUACUUGUUUAUUCUCUUGCAAUUUCUUUUUUAGUUCAGUUCAGACACUAAAAAUUGGUUCUGUUACAUUCUCUUAUUUUAGUUCAGUUCAAUUUCUAAUUUUAGUUUAAUUCAACUAGGUGUGUUUUCUGCAGAUGGAUUUAGUUCAGUUCAAAAUCUAAUUUUAGUUCGUUUCAGUUGGACGCCAUGGGUAAACGCAGCGCCACCGGCCUCAAAAGGCCCUUCUCCCGCUACUGUCUCGAUCUUCAACCGUUGUUGUUGUCGUCUGUAUACCUCCUUCCCUGAUGUUGAUUUUACAAAAGGAUCAGUGAAGCAUUGGGCAAUGGACACACUAUCUUCAUGAGAUGGUGUACUGCACAACAUACUUCCAUUAGUUGAAGAUGAUACAUGGAGCAGUGACCGCUCAACAAUUUUUUUGUGAUAAAUGUUAUUAUGAUCUAUUCUAUGUAUUAUAUUGUAUGAUCGGGAGAACUCAGAAGUUCAUGUGUUGUCGGUGGAAAAUUUCAAAACAGUUUGUUUAGUAUGAACUUUUUUAUCAAAUGAUAAACCUAUGUUAAUGAAAAACAGUAGUUGAGACGA
Molecule: non-coding RNA, 1418 nt
Organism: Aegilops tauschii subsp. strangulata
Lineage: Eukaryota; Viridiplantae; Streptophyta; Magnoliopsida; Poales; Poaceae
Source: RefSeq, a predicted model, not a curated record